Molecule: small RNA, 125 nt
Filed under: Marmota monax (woodchuck)
Lineage: Eukaryota; Metazoa; Chordata; Mammalia; Rodentia; Sciuridae
Source: RNAcentral
GCUGGGCACUGUAGCGUAUACCUGUAAUCCCAUCAACUCAGGAAGCUGAGACAGGAGGAUGGAGAGUUCAAAGCCAGCCUCAGCAAAAGUGAGGCACUAAGCAACUCAGUGAAAUCCUGUCUUUA